GACGGCCGGUAUCGGGUUGUAAACCUCUUUCAGCACGGAAGAAGCGAAAGUGACAGGUACGUGCAGAAAGAAGCGCCGGCUAACUACGUGCCAGCAGCCGCGGUAAUACGUAGGGCGCAAGCGUUGUCCGGAAUUAUUAGGGCGUAAAGAGCUCGUAGGCGGUUUGUCGCGUCUGCUGUGAAAGACCCGAGGGCUUAACCCCGGGUGUGCAGUGGGUACGGGCAGACUUGAGUGCAGUAGGGGGAGACUGGAACUCCUGGUGUAGCGGUGAAAUGCGCAGAUAUCAGGAAGAACACCGAUGGCGAAGGCAGGUCUCUGGGCUGUUACUGACGCUGAGGAGCGAAAGCAGGGGAGCGAACAGGAUUAGAUACCCUGGUAGUCCAUGCCGUAAACGUUGGGCACUAGGUGUGGGGGACAUUCCACGUUUUCCGCGCCGUAGCUAACGCAUUAAGUGCCCCGCCUGGGGAGUACGGCCGCAAGGCUAAAACUCAAAGGAAUUGACGGGGGCCCGCACAAGCGGCGGAGCAUGCGGAUUAAUUCGAUGCAACGCGAAGAACUUACCAAGGCUUGACAUACACCGGAUCGGCUCAGAGAUGGGUUUUCCUCCUUGUGGGGCUGGUGUACAGGUGGUGCAUGGUUGUCGUCAGCUCGUGUCGUGAGAUGUUGGGUUAAGUCCCGCAACGAGCGCAACCCUCGUUCUAUGUUGCCAGCACGUGAUGGUGGGGACUCAUAGGAGACUGCCGGGGUCAACUCGGAGGAAGGUGGGAUGACGUCAAAUCAUCAUGCCCCUUAUGUCUUGGGCUUCACGCAUGCUACAAUGGCCAGUACAAUGGGUUGCGAUACCGUGAGGUGGAAGCUAAUCCCAAAAAGCUG
RNAcentral lists this ribosomal RNA (873 nucleotides) under Kocuria sp. RNAcentral describes it as "bacterial SSU rRNA". It matches the Rfam family "Bacterial small subunit ribosomal RNA", at positions 410 to 1284 of the family's 1533-position model. The record is from RNAcentral. Lineage: Bacteria; Bacillati; Actinomycetota; Actinomycetes; Micrococcales; Micrococcaceae.